GAAAAGCCCCCGGCUUAACCGGGGAGGGUCCAUUUGGAAACUGGGAAACUUGAGUGCAGAAAGAGGAGAGUGGAAUUCCACGUGUAGCGGUGAAAUGCGUAGAGAUGUGGAGGAACACCAGUGGCGAAGGCGACUCUCUGGUCUGUAACUGACGCUGAGGAGCGAAAGCGUGGGGAGCGAACAGGAUUAGAUACCCUGGUAGUCCACGCCGUAAACGAUGAGUGCUAAGUGUUAGGGGGUUUCCGCCCCUUAGUGCUGCAGCUAACGCAUUAAGCACUCCGCCUGGGGAGUACGGUCGCAAGACUGAAACUCAAAGGAAUUGACGGGGGCCCGCACAAGCGGUGGAGCAUGUGGUUUAAUUCGAAGCAACGCGAAGAACCUUACCAGGUCUUGACAUCCUCUGACAACCCUAGAGAUAGGGCUUUCCCUUCGGGGACAGAGUGACAGGUGGUGCAUGGUUGUCGUCAGCUCGUGUCGUGAGAUGUUGGGUUAAGUCCCGCAACGAGCGCAACCCUUGAUCUUAGUUGCCAGCAUUCAGUUGGGCACUCUAAGGUGACUGCCGGUGACAAACCGGAGGAAGGUGGGGAUGACGUCAAAUCAUCAUGCCCCUUAUGACCUGGGCUACACACGUGCUACAAUGGACAGAACAAAGGGCUGCAAGACCGCAAGGUUUAGCCAAUCCCAUAAAUCUGUUCUCAGUUCGGAUCGCAGUCUGCAACUCGACUGCGUGAAGCUGGAAUCGCUAGUAAUCGCGGAUCAGCAUGCCGCGGUGAAUA
Molecule: ribosomal RNA, 776 nt
Filed under: Bacillus pumilus
Lineage: Bacteria; Bacillati; Bacillota; Bacilli; Caryophanales; Bacillaceae
Description: bacterial SSU rRNA
Rfam family: Bacterial small subunit ribosomal RNA
Source: RNAcentral